CUGAAAUUGGCCAGAUUCAUGCCCUACGUGGCGACCAACCAUAAUGCCUUCCCUGUCGGCUGCUACGCCUUCCCUGUGGUGUUGAAAUCCACGCUCCUGGGACUGUGUGGACUUUGGGAGCCCAAUCCACAUAGAGGAAUUCUCCCUGAGCCAAGACCCACAGGGGUGGGCCUAGGCCCUAUCCCAAAGGAUAUGGAACGCCUCACCCUCCUGGGGAGGAGAAAGGAUAUGAGAUAGGCAGGGACCCUGUCCCAUCUGCACCUGCACUAUCGGAGUGUGGGUCCAACAGCUGUUCCAAGUCCUGGGAUUUGGACUGGAGAUCCAUUCCUCUCUCAGCUUGCCGAUAUGGUGCCAUCUGUAUUUCUUCACCCUCCUUAUUCUUCAAUUCAUGUCUUUCCAAAAGAUGAGAACCUCAACUUGACAGGGGUUGGGCAGAUAACUUAUGAAAAUCUCUCUUCUUUGUAGUUAUUGGGUAUGCUUUGAGAAGUUUCCUUUAUGCCUAUUUAGAGCUUUAUUUAUAUCUGUCCCCAUAAGCUCUUGAUGCUUGUAUAGUCAUGGAGUCACGUCAUCUAGUACAUUACCUAGUUAUUUUCAGUCUCUGCAAUAUAGUGACCUGUUUUUGUGUGUCGUUUGUAUGAUUAGUAUCUUAGCUUUACAUGUUCAGAUUGUACUGACAUACUUCACCUUAACCUAUAUCAAGAUAUAUAGCCAUUAAUUAAAACUGUGCCUGUAUCUCUAUUUCCAUGGUAAAUAGCAUAAUGUAAGAUGUGUGCAGGCACAUGAACAGGCACACACAUAUGUGCACAGACACACAAGUACAUGAACACAUACAUAUAUCCUCAUUCAUGUGCACCCAUACACAUGAACACAAUGCACACAUGUAUACAUCCACCUACCCAUCCACUCACAUACAAAUGUGCAUACAUACAUACCUACAAGUACAGAACAGAUACACACCUACACAGAAGUGCACACACAUGCACAUAGUGCAUUCUAUAUACAACAUGGCACAUGUCUACAUGUGCACAUGCAUAACCCACACCGAUGUAACCGUACACAUACAUUUGCACACAUAGACACAAACCCCUUCAUAUACCCACGUGCAUACCCACACAUAAAAAUCCACACACAGCAAUAUACAUGCACAUAUUCACACACAUACACAUACAAAUCAUGAGGCGUACACACAAUCAACACACAUUCAUGAACCAACACACAUGGGAACAUACACAAAGGUACUAAGAGUUUUCAUGUUGACAAUGUGAAGUAAAGCUUAGAAAGUAUCUAAAUCUCUAUACAGAUACCAAAACCAAGGACAUAGAAAAGGGCAGGAUAUCCAAGUGUCAAUAUGCAUGAAAAUAUUACAAUGGCAAAGCUAUGUAAAGCUAUGAAAUAUGAAGUAAACACUUCAAAUAGGAUACAAGGAGGAAUGGCUCAUAGAUUUUAAUUUUUACACCAUGUACCUCUUCAUAUGCUUCUGGACAUCAUAUCCAUGUGCCUUCUAUGUCAAUACUGCAGUCUUACCCUUUAGCUAAAGUGACAAUAUUUGUGCAUAUGACUGACGUUAGGAGUGUAGAGUAUUGUAUUCAGUCAAGUUUCCAAGACACAGAUGUUGAGAUUUGCCUGUGGGAGUCCCAGGAGCAUUUGUAAAUAAGAGAGGGAAACAGCAUUGGACCGAGGGGGAAGCUGAACUCACAUGAAUUCAUAAUGGCAGCUGUACAAGUCCCCUCCCUUUCCCUCAGGCCUGGAUGGUUUCCAGCUGUCCCUAGCUGGGGCAACUUUUCCAGAAGCUUGCCUUCCAGCUGACUACAGGCAGUGGUGUGACCUUAAGCAAGGUGGCUCCCUAUGCAGAGGUUGAUUCUGGUAUGUAACUCAGCCAUCAGCAGCAUGUACUCUUCUCUGGGAGGCUGAGCACUGGGCUAUGGGAUUGGAGGAUCUGGGUGGUGACAAUUUCCAAUGCAGUUACUAAAAAAUAGGCAGUUACUGAACCACAGGCAGUUAGAAUAAGUAAGACAGGAUGGGGUGGGGUGGUGGUGAACACAAAGUCAUUUGAGGAAGUCCUAAAAAAUAAGUUCACGGUAGCAACUUUGCAUGCUUUUAUUACCUACUUGUUCAUGGAUUCAGGGGACAUGUCUUGGAGGCCAUUUUUGUGUGGGUUGGUUUGUCACUUAAAGAGCUGAGCAGAGAGCUCAGAGGCCUUUGUUUUGUGUUAUUCAGAGAAGAAGAUAAUGAAACUAAGGAAAGAGUGAAGAGUUAGGAAAUGCCAGAAAGAGACAGAGCAGGGAAGCCUGGGAGGUUGUAAGGGUGAGCUAGCUGAGUUAGCUGAGGGAAGUCUUUUAGUAGACAGCUACUUUUCAUCUCCGUGCUACUGUUUUCAUCCUUGGUCAGAGCUGAAUCCAUUAACUUCCUACCAGGAAGCUGUGUGGGGUAAUACGGGAAGGUGUGAGAAUCCUUGCUGUGGUUUCUACUUGCCCAAGUUCAGGAUUUUUUUUUUUCUACAAUUCAUUACUAAUAGGACCUUAGGUCAUACACAUAACAAACCUAAGCCUUUUUUUUUUUUUUAACUCAUCUUCAAAAUGGAUGUGACAUUACUUUGCAGGGUUGUUAGGAGUGUCAUUAAUAACUUGAAACAAAGAUUGUAACCACAGAAGUUAGAGGCUCAGGGUCAGUGGUCUCCCAAGCCAGAAAAAGCCAAUCAGACUGUGGAAAUAAUGUCAUGUGUGUGACAACUCCUAAUCAUCAUUUUAAAGGAAGAAUUUUGUAUUGUUUAUUUGAAUAAAAGACAAACAAGGAAGAUGGUUGGGUCAUAGACUAUAAUAAAAUGUGAGAAAUGGAUAUUUAUGUAUAUAUGUGUUUUAGCCAUCAACACAUAGAGGAGAGGCAGUUGGUAUUUGGACAACACAGCUUCGUUGACAUUGGGGUGAGGUGUUGGAUACCCAUCUGCAAAAGCACAUUUUUUUUUCAAAUUUAAUUAGAUAAUCAGGCUGAAGCCCUUGACAUUACAAAUCAAUAGAUGAUAGGGCCCGAUUGACACAUGGGAAUCCUUGUGUGUCACAUACCUUCAUAUUUGUGGUGGUCAAUUAUAUCACUUGAUUUAUAAAACAUCUUGGCGAGACAGAGAUUUUAUGUUACACACACACACACACACACACACACACACACACACACACAC
RNAcentral lists this long non-coding RNA (3172 nucleotides) under Cricetulus griseus (Chinese hamster). RNAcentral's name for it is "lncRNA (ENSCGRG00015034711.1)". The record is from RNAcentral. Lineage: Eukaryota; Metazoa; Chordata; Mammalia; Rodentia; Cricetidae.